RNAcentral lists this ribosomal RNA (307 nucleotides) under Bacillus pumilus. RNAcentral describes it as "bacterial SSU rRNA". It matches the Rfam family "Bacterial small subunit ribosomal RNA", at positions 421 to 720 of the family's 1533-position model. The record is from RNAcentral. Lineage: Bacteria; Bacillati; Bacillota; Bacilli; Caryophanales; Bacillaceae.
GAUCGUAAAGCUCUGUUGUUAGGGAAGAACAAGUGCGAGAGUAACUGCUCGCACCAUGACGGUACCUAACCAGAAAGCCACGGCUAACUACGUGCCAGCAGCCGCGGUAAUACGUAGGUGGCAAGCGUUGUCCGGAAUUAUUGGGCGUAAAGGGCUCGCAGGCGGUUUCUUAAGUCUGAUGUGAAAGCCCCCGGCUCAACCGGGGAGGGUCAUUGGAAACUGGGAAACUUGAGUGCAGAAGAGGAGAGUGGAAUUCCCCGUGUAGCGGUGAAAUGCGUAGAGAUGAGGAGGAACGCCAAUGGCGAAG